GGGGAUGUAGCUCAUCAGGCAGAGCACUUGGCUAGCAUGCAUGAGGCACUGAGUUCUAUUCUCAGCCCCA
This 70-nucleotide transfer RNA is filed under the name Heterocephalus glaber (naked mole-rat). It matches the Rfam family "tRNA". From Rfam's summary of the family: Transfer RNA (tRNA) molecules are approximately 80 nucleotides in length. Their secondary structure includes four short double-helical elements and three loops (D, anti-codon, and T loops). Further hydrogen bonds mediate the characteristic L-shaped molecular structure. tRNAs have two regions of fundamental functional importance: the anti-codon, which is responsible for specific mRNA codon recognition, and the 3' end, to which the tRNAs corresponding amino acid is attached (by aminoacyl-tRNA synthetases). tRNAs cope with the degeneracy of the genetic code in two manners: having more than one tRNA (with a specific anti-codon) for a particular amino acid; and 'wobble' base-pairing, i.e. permitting non-standard base-pairing at the 3rd anti-codon position. The record is from Rfam by way of RNAcentral. Lineage: Eukaryota; Metazoa; Chordata; Mammalia; Rodentia; Bathyergidae.